This is a long non-coding RNA of Musca domestica (house fly), 6136 nucleotides long. RefSeq annotates it as probable RNA-directed DNA polymerase from transposon BS. Lineage: Eukaryota; Metazoa; Arthropoda; Insecta; Diptera; Muscidae. The record is from RefSeq and is a predicted model, not a curated record. The transcript has 2 exons.
AGUGAGAGUAAAUUUAUCAUGUGUUGGCAACCCUGUUGUGAUUAGUUCAAAAAAUUGUGGUGCUCCGUGCUUUUGAAAAAAAUUAAUAGUUAUUGCGUUAUUAAAUUAAUUAAUCUGGUAAAAAAGUGUUUAAAAGUGUUCAAUAGUGAUUUGUAACUCAAAGUGAUAAUUGGUGUAGUGUUUUAAAAUCUUGUUUUGUGUUUUAAAGUUAUAUCAAUUUUAAAAUUGUGUAGUUUUACAUUUUCCUUUUAUCCUCUUUCUUUUGUUACAUUAGCUAAUUAGUUGUUGUAACAUUAUCGUCUUGUUUUGUUUGUCAUCUCAAAAGAGUUGCCAACAUUAAAAAAAAAAAUAAUAAAAAAGAAUAAAUAUAAAUAACAAAAAUUCCAGCUACAGAUCUAAUCUUAAAUAAAUAUUUGGAACUUGUGUAUUAAAAAAGAAAUAUAUAUAAUUAAAAUAAAGAAAAUGUCGUGCCCUUUUGAAUUGUGUAAUAUUGUUGCAGAGGAUGAAUUGUGUGUUACCUGUUGGUUUUGUCUUAAUCAAUGGCAUGCAAAAUGUGCUAGGAUUAAUGCAAAAGUAGUAGACACAAUUAGAAAUAAUGUUGGUGUUCGUUGGUGUUGUGUGCAAUGCAGGAAACUCUCUGCAGACUUUUAUAAUUUUGUAAAGGAGUUGCAGUCGGAAUUAACAUCGAUGAAAAAAGAUUUUUCCUCAUUAUCACUCCGAUUUGAGAAUUUCUCUACAUUGUUUGAGAAAUACCAAGAGUUAGAUGAGUUUGUGUCGUCACCGUCAGUUUCUGGACAGAAACGCAAAAGGGCUGCGAAAAAGGCACCAACUAAGGGAAUGCCUAGUCGCAAAGCAAUAGUUUCUGUUGAGAACACUGUUCCACAACCGGUCUCAGUUAAUAUCACUGAUACAACUGAGACUGGACGUGAACAGUCGUAUGCCAGUGUUAUUACACACCCAGUUCCGGUAGAUAACAGCGGUAUAGGUAAAGGGGUAAUUAAUCCUGAUGUUAUGAAUAUUGAUAGUGAGGUUUCUAAGAAAACCUCACAAUCUACUCGUGACAUACAGGAAUUAUCAUUUCCUUCACUUAUCACUAGUGAUCGUCCCGAGACUGCUACUGGCAAAACUCAACCUGUCCAAAGAUCAUUAUCCAUGGCCCCCGCCAUAAAAAUGAUAUUUGCAACAAGGCUCUUUAUAUAUCUCCAUGACUCACAGUUAUGUAAUUGAAGAAAGUCAGUCCGACUCAUUUAAAACAGUCCUUAAUUACAAAAAAACUAAUUUUCGAAAACUUAAUACCCUCAUAACAGCCAUACAGAUUUAGAAUAUGUAAUUGAUAAAUUUUAUGAUAUUUUAAAUAGAUUUAAACUGGAAUGUGUUCCAACCACUAGAGUUAAAAAUUCAAAUAAACAUCCAUGGAUAACCCCUGAGUUAUCAAGUUUAAAAAAUUCUAAAAAUAAGCUUUUUCGUAAAUAUAAAAAAUCAGGCUUAACAAUAGACUACACUAAUUACUCUGUUGCUAGAUCUAAAUAUACUUUAGAGUCUCGUAGAUUGUAUAAUCUUUACCUAGACAAGAUUAAAAAUAAUGUUAAAUCCAAUCCUAAAUCUUUUUAUGAUUUUGUUAAUCUAAAACGAAAAGUUUCCUCAAAGCCCUCAGUAUUGAAAUAUAACAAUAAAGAAUUUGUCACAGGCACAGAUAUUGCUGAAUGUUUCGCAGAUUUUUUUGCCACAACCUAUUCCAGUACAUCUUGCCAAAUUAAAGACUCGUAUCCUUAUAAGUUAUCACAGGCUGAUCAAAUUUGUAUGCCUUUUCUACAACGUCAUGAUGUAUCCAAUAGUCUGCGUAGUUUAAAAUCGAUUAAAUGUCCAGGACCGGAUGGCAUACCUAAUAUAAUUCUUAAAUAUUGUUCAGAAACAUUAGCACUUCCGUUAACUAUAUUGUUUAAUUAUUCACUUAAAUUUGGUCACUUUCCUACUUUUUGGAAAAAAUCUUAUAUUAUACCUUUACAUAAGUCUGGUAGUCUUACUAAUGUGUCAAAUUAUAGAGGAAUUGCAAAAUUAAGUGCCAUACCAAAAUUGUUUGAAAAAUUAAUUACUGCAGUAAUUUCACAGAAAAUUCAAUCUAUAUUGAGUCCAUAUCAGCAUGGUUUUCGUAGUGGUCUUUCAACUACAACAAAUCUUAUAGAAUUUACGUCAACAGAAAUAAAAGGAUUUGUUCAGCGUAAACAAACUGAUACAAUUUAUACCGAUUUUAGUAAAGCUUUUGAUAGGGUUAACCAUGAACUCCUAAUAUAUAAAUUAAAUUAUAUGGGUUUCAACACAAACUUAGUCAAAUGGAUAUCAUCUUACUUACAAAAUAGAUCACAACUAGUUUUGUUUGAAGGGUAUCUAUCCAAAACGAUUAACGUUCCAUCGGGUGUUCCGCAAGGAAGUCACCUUGGACCGGUCCUCUUUCUUUUAUUUAUCAACGAUUUACCUAAUUCCAUAAAUUACUCGAAAUUGUUAAUGUACGCAGAUGAUGUUAAAUUAUUCAUUUCCCAUAAUUGUGAUAAACGAGCGAGUUUACUUCAAAACGAUUUAGAUAGCCUUUUUAAAUGGUGCACGUUAAAUUGUAUGGAGUUAAAUUUAAGCAAAUGUAAGCAUAUGUGCUUCUCCAGAUCUUCUUCUCUGAUAUUAAAAUAUAAUAUUGACGGUCAUUCAUUAUCAACUGUAGAUUCAUUUGUUGAUCUUAGCCUCUUAAUGAAUCAAAAAUUAAAUUUUAAUAGCCAUGUAAUAACAAUGGUAAAUAAAGCAAAUGGUGUUUUAGGUUUUGUUAAACGGUGGGCCAAAGAAUUUUCUGAUCCAUAUAUAACAAAACAGUUAUUUACGUCUCUUGUUAGACCUAUAUUGGAAUACGGUUCUGUUGUAUGGGAUCCUCAAUAUGCAACAUACUCAGAUAAAAUAGAAUCCGUGCAAAAACAAUUUCUGCUAUUUGCCUUACGAGGUUUACAUUGGAAUAGUGAUUUUGUUUUGCCUUCUUAUUCUAGCAGGCUAAAAUUAAUUAGAUUGCCUACACUUAAAAGCAGACGUAUUAUGUUGAACUCCAUGUUUGUACUAAAAAUAUUAAAUGGUAAUAUACCCUCAGAUUUUCUGAUUUCAUCUAUUAGAAUUAAUGUUCCGUUUAGAUCUAGUAGAUACUACCAAUUAUUAUAUACUGAUUUUCACCGCACGAAUUAUUCAAUGGGCGAACCUCUUAGUAAAAUGUGUGUUGACUUUAAUUCUGUGUACUGUAAUGUAGAUUUUGGUAUGAGUUUAGAAGUUAUUAAAUCUAGAAUAAUUCUAUUUUUUUAAACAAUUAACAUACAUGUUUUAUUAUUUGACAAACUAGCUGAUGAAUUAAAUUCUGUAGCUGGUUUUAAAUUUCCUACUGAAUUCCCAUUAUGAUGCGGAUCAUGAUGUGUACGCGAUCCCUCCGUAAAGGGAGGUCGCCCCCUCGGUCGGCAGGGGUGGGAAUGUGAGGCGUGGGAACGUUCGGAAAAAAAAAAAAAAAUAUAACUCAAAACUGCUUGUUAUGGAAAAAAUAAAAUUUACAGUAAUGAAAAUUGUAUAAUGAUAAAAAUUUUAUUUCCAUUUUAUUGCAAUUUCCAUUUACAAUUGCAAAAACUUUGUUCCAAUAUCAAAUUUGGCAUUCAAAACACUGCGCACAUAAAUACUUUAAAACUGAAACAAACUAAUGGAAAAUGGUUAAGGAUGCACCUUUAUGGUGUCCACUUUCGGAAGGACCAUCGUAAAUGCUCCUAGACCAAAUCCCACAAUGGCCAGACUUAUAUUUCAUGUGGUGCUCUUAGAAUAAAUUGGUUUGGACCCACUGUGGAAAAAAGGUUAAGGAUGUAACUUUAUGGUGUACAUUUUCGGAAAGAGCAUCGAGAAUGCUCCUAGACUUCUUAUUUUGAAAGACCAAACCCAUCUGGAAAUCCCACGGUGGUCAGACUUAUAUUUCAUAUCGUCACUGUAGGAGAAAUUGGUCUGGGCCCAUUGUGGGAAAAUGGUUAAGGAUGCACCUUGAUGAUGUCCAUUUUCGGAAAGUGUAUCGAAAAUGCUCCUAGACAACUUAUUUUGAAAGGACAAACCCAUCUGGUAAUUCCACGGUGGCCGGACUUAUAUGUCAUGUGGUCUCCAUUGUAUUGUUCUUAUAUUUUUAAGUCAGCUCAAAUGUUUUUAUUGAAGUUCAACAAAAAUCUGCAUGGAAUCUUUUGUUCAUUUUAUUUUUAUUGGUUGUCCUGUUGCGUUAUUGGUGACAAAAUGUUGGUUUUUUAGAGUUUCUAUUUUUCUGUUCCCAUCUCCUUUUAACUUUUUCUCUGUAAGACCAUAAAAUAAUUUUUUUUAAGUUUGCUCUUCUGCUAUUUUCGCAACUAACUGGUAAGGGAACUGUUACAUUUUUCUAAUUAACAGCUUUACCUAAAAUUCGACUUGGUGUACAAUACUUCGACUUGGUAUAUAAUACCCAAAUGAUCCAGGUACAUCUACAAUCUAAUAACGUUGGAAAAAAUCAGAUAUAUAUUUAAAAAUAAACCACCUUACAGACAUUUAUUCAUUUAUUUUUUUAUUAUUAAUUUCCAUUUUCAACACACAUAAAAGGAAUUUGUUCAAUUGUCAAUGUUGAAAAUCUUCUGCUUUGAAAUUACGUACGCUAGAUGUAUUUCGGUAAAAAUUAUAUAAAUACAUAUGAUUAAAUUGUGCGGUGAAUAACGUCGACACAGGAUGUUGACUUUUGGGUAACGCUGUUAACGUAAUUUUUAAUAUAAAAAUUUUGGAAAUCAUAUGUAGUGUACAUUCAUUAUUUUCGAAUAAAAAUUAGGUUUUUGCAACAAUAAAUGAACAGCGCAAUUUAUUAAAUAAUAUGUCCUCCUUUCAUCAUAAAGAAUGGAAUGUCACUAUCAAAUAUUAUAUAUUUACAAUUUGUUAAAAUGUUACUCAUAUUCUUCGUUAUUACCAUACAUUACCACACGCAGCAUCAGCAACUAGAAAUUGCAACCGUACUAUAUUUUUACAAAACCAUCAAGUUGACAACAUUGUAGCCAUGAUUCAAGUAUAAGGUCCCCCUUCCAGCUCAGCUGAUUGGAUUUUCUCCUCUGAUUAUGUCCAACACAGGCUAACGCCAACCAAAGUUUUCUAAAUGUGGUGCUUUUGUAAUUCCAACGACGGCUACGCGAAAUGAAUCUUUUUUACUGAAAACAUAAUUUUAAUAAACUGGUUAGAAUCGGGUUAUGCGGAUGGAAAGACCCAUAUCUCUGGACCCGAAAAAGGUAUUAACACAAAUUGUAGCAUUUUGGAAAGGUAAGAGUGCCAGCUAUAAUUUGGCAUCAAUUUUGUUGACCCCCAUAAUGGGCCCUUUUUGGACUUUUUGGGGGUUUUAUAAAAAAUCCGGGUCCAAAAAAUCGAUAAUUUGACUAUAAUUUCCGAAUCGUGACCACUGGUUGGGUAGGUAUUUUCAUAAAAUACCUAUAUUGUCUAUAUCGGGUAAUAGGGGCCGUGUCCAGGCCGGGUCUUGAACCCAGAUUUUCGGGUCAAAAAUGUCAACUGUCAACUCAUGAAAAUCGAAGAAAUUAAAAGUAGCGUUCGCACCCAACGCAUUUCUGAUCAUAGCCAUAUUAAAGGUUUGGGCAUACAUGGCGAAGGUGACAAAAUGCUGUCCGAGAAGCUGCUGCUAUAGUUGUGAAUUUAACGAAACACAAGAAAAUGCUGGUCUUGUCUCACAGCUGGACGUACUAUCAGGUACGGGCAAAUUGGUAAAUUUACCGAACUGACAGAAAAAGUGGAGGUGGAUGAUAUCUACAUUUAGGCCAAUAGUGGUGCCGUCAAUCGUUAUGGACGCAGUGACACCUUUGCAGCGGAAUUGGAUUUGGAGACCGAUGUGACACUUCACACAUUGGCUCACCUCAUGGCAUUCCCUUGGAUUUACCUGAUGUAUGGAUCAUCAUAGGCACCUUGCCAUAGCAUUCCAGUGAAAUAUGGAACAACUCAUAAUGUUGCGUGCCCAAACGAAGAACCUGCAAUUUGAAGAGUCCGCAUUUAAACGUCUCAAUGAAACCCGCAUUGACUAAGAUAAGAAAAUGUGAACAGACUAUCGAGUUAAGAAUAAAUAAUAUACAAUUAUCAA